Molecule: ribosomal RNA, 365 nt
Filed under: uncultured eukaryote
Lineage: Eukaryota
Description: partial 18S ribosomal RNA
Rfam family: Eukaryotic small subunit ribosomal RNA
Source: RNAcentral
CAAUAGCGUAUAUUUAAGUUGUUGCAGUUAAAAAGCUCGUAGUCGGAUUUUGGCUGAGAACGAUCGGUCCGCCGUUAGGUGUGCACUGAUUGGUCUCAGCUUCCUGGUGAGGAGGUGCGCUUCACGGCCACUUAGUCACCGUGGUUACUUUGAAAAAAUUAGAGUGUUCAAAGCGGGCUUACGCUUGAAUAUAUUAGCAUGGAAUAACACCAUAGGACUCCUGUCCUAUUUCGUUGGUCACGGGACGGGAGUAAUGAUUAAGAGGAACAGUUGGGGGCAUUCGUAUUUCAUUGUCAGAGGUGAAAUUCUUGGAUUUAUGAAAGACGAACUUCUGCGAAAGCAUUUGCCAAGGAUGUUUUCAUUGA